Molecule: ribosomal RNA, 495 nt
Filed under: uncultured bacterium
Lineage: Bacteria
Description: partial 16S ribosomal RNA
Rfam family: Bacterial small subunit ribosomal RNA
Source: RNAcentral
GAUGAACGCUGGCGGCGUGCCUAAUACAUGCAAGUCGAGCGAACAGACGAGGAGCUUGCUCCUCUGACGUUAGCGGCGGACGGGUGAGUAACACGUGGAUAACCUACCUAUAAGACUGGGAUAACUUCGGGAAACCGGAGCUAAUACCGGAUAAUAUAUUGAACCGCAUGGUUCAAUAGUGAAAGACGGUUUUGCUGUCACUUAUAGAUGGAUCCGCGCCGCAUUAGCUAGUUGGUAAGGUAACGGCUUACCAAGGCAACGAUGCGUAGCCGACCUGAGAGGGUGAUCGGCCACACUGGAACUGAGACACGGUCCAGACUCCUACGGGAGGCAGCAGUAGGGAAUCUUCCGCAAUGGGCGAAAGCCUGACGGAGCAACGCCGCGUGAGUGAUGAAGGUCUUCGGAUCGUAAAACUCUGUUAUUAGGGAAGAACAAAUGUGUAAGUAACUAUGCACGUCCUGACGGUACCUAAUCAGAAAGCCACGGCUAACUACG